RNAcentral lists this ribosomal RNA (468 nucleotides) under uncultured bacterium. RNAcentral's name for it is "partial 16S ribosomal RNA". The stretch from base 52 to 468 matches the Rfam family "Bacterial small subunit ribosomal RNA", at positions 35 to 507 of the family's 1533-position model. The record is from RNAcentral.
GGGGGGGGGGGGGGGGGGGGGGGGGGGGGGGGGGGGGGGGGGGGGGGGCCGGCUGGUGGGGGGGGCGCGCGGGGCGAGCGGGUGAGUGCCGCGUGGGUACCCUGCCCUGGACUGGGGGAUAGCUUCGGGAAACUGGUGCUCGUACCGGCUAGGAGCUCCUGCUGCAGUGUGGGGUGUGGAACGUUUCGGCGGUUGGGGAUGGUCGCGCGGCUUAUCAGCUGGUUGGUGGGGUCGUGUCUUACCCAGGCUCUGACGGGUAGCCGGCCUGCGAGGGUGACCGGCCACAUGGGGACUGAGAUACGGCCCAGACUCCUACGGGAGGCAGCAGUGGGGAAUAUUGCACAAUGGGCGGAAGCCUGAUGCAGCAACGCCGCGUGCGGGAUGACGGCCGUCGGGUUGUAAACCGCUUUCGCCUGUGACGAAGCGUGAGUGACGGUAAUGGGUAAAGAAGCACCGGCUAACUACGUG